GCCUGGGUAGCUCAGUCGGUUAAGCGUCUGACUUCGGCUCAGGUCAUGAUCUCACAGUUUGUGGGUUUGAGCCCCACGUCGGGCU
Molecule: transfer RNA, 85 nt
Filed under: Felis catus (domestic cat)
Lineage: Eukaryota; Metazoa; Chordata; Mammalia; Carnivora; Felidae
Rfam family: tRNA
About the family: Transfer RNA (tRNA) molecules are approximately 80 nucleotides in length. Their secondary structure includes four short double-helical elements and three loops (D, anti-codon, and T loops). Further hydrogen bonds mediate the characteristic L-shaped molecular structure. tRNAs have two regions of fundamental functional importance: the anti-codon, which is responsible for specific mRNA codon recognition, and the 3' end, to which the tRNAs corresponding amino acid is attached (by aminoacyl-tRNA synthetases). tRNAs cope with the degeneracy of the genetic code in two manners: having more than one tRNA (with a specific anti-codon) for a particular amino acid; and 'wobble' base-pairing, i.e. permitting non-standard base-pairing at the 3rd anti-codon position.
Source: Rfam by way of RNAcentral